This 332-nucleotide ribosomal RNA is filed under the name uncultured Rhizophagus. RNAcentral describes it as "partial large subunit ribosomal RNA". Lineage: Eukaryota; Fungi; Glomeromycota; Glomeromycetes; Glomerales; Glomeraceae. The record is from RNAcentral.
CCAGUCGUACCUUCGGGUAAUCAGCCUUUUCGGGUGCGAUUCUGUGGGGUUUGAGGAGCUUAACACCUUCAUGCUUUGCAUAUUCGUGCUCUUGGGUGUACUUGCCCGUGUGGUUGGUUAACAUCAAUUUCGGGCACCAUAAAAUGGCUGGAGGAAUGUAGCUUCGAUCUUGUAUUGAAGUGUUAUAGCCUUCGGUAGAUGUGAUGAUCAAGAUUGAGGAUUGCAACGGAUACCCUUCGGGGCUACCUGUCUGAUCUCUGAUCGUUGCUCUGGUGCCGAAAGCUUGCUUACGGUUAUCAAAGUCGAUGGUCAAUAGGUUAGAACGGGUUAAA